AUCAAGCACACCAUUUCAGUGGCCCAGAGGUCUUACGAAACUCUCAAAUCCCCAUACCUUUGCAUCUGGCUCCCCAGGAGAAUCAAAGCCAGAGCUCUUGAAAGUCGUGUUUUUCUUCCAGGUCGGCGAGCUUGUGGGAGGGAGCCUUUUCCCGCCUCGCGCACUAGCAUGCCGCCAUCUGGCCAUCAUCGCUAUGAAACGCGUUUUGAUAGUCGCAUACAAAGACGGGCCCUUGGAAGAGCUGCUCUGCGAGAUACCUGGAAUGAGAAGAUCACCAGAAAACGUUGAUUUUGGUUUCCCUCUAACACACCUUUGGUGCUUGCUCCAUUGCACAGGAGUUUCGAAGGGAAAGUCUUUCACGCAUAAGAUCACGCAAAGGAAAGAAUAAAUCUCGAUUGCUUGUGUGUAAGUUAUCCUUCCGAUUUGCAGGAAUGAGGAGCGGACGCCUUGUCAAGGAUGCGGUCGGUGAGCACAGAUCUCUGGGAGGAAAUCGUCUCCAGCGGCCUCGCUAAUCUCGUCAUGGAAAUGUAUGGAAAGUGCGGCUGCUGAUCGUGGCGUGAGCUUGCCGUAGACGUUGAGCAGCACUGUGGCGAUGGAGAUUCUGCGGUACUUGCUUGUGUGCCUCAGCUUUCAGCUUCCCAAGAUCCUGGGCGAAAGCUUGCAGGAGCUGGCUGGCAGAACCUCGUGGGAGACCAGUGGGGCAAAUGCGAGCUCAUUAUCUUAGGCCAGCGGCGACGAAUACCGCGUGGAUCUGAGGCGUUGAAUGAAGAAGCAUGAGUGCCACCGCUUCUCGCAUCGGGCAAAUGCCGCCGUCGCAAUGUUCCACGAGAAAACAUCUCAAUCUUCCAUCUUGUGGAAGGCUCCCAAGGCGUCUGCCGCUCUUCCAGGGGGUCCAAUUCAAGGACGCCGUCACCUGGAUGUCGGAGUUGGCACUCUGUCAAAGGGAUCAAAAGAGCAGUGAAAGGACACAAAGGCAGUGUAAAGAGAGAAAAGAGCGGCAAACCUGUUUGCGCGACAGGUGGAUUGACCAUAUACAUCAGAAAUACAAGAGUCCCAGCACCAAGCCGAGGGUAGGAGCAGGCAAGACAAGAAGGCCAAAGACGAGGCACUCUUGCGUUUGGAGGCCGAGAAACUAGCCAGGGAGAAAGCCGAAGCGGCGGCCAAGCAAAGAGUGGAAAGGAUACAGAGGAAGUCCGAGGCGGACUUGCGGGCUCACAGGGACGAGAUACACAAGCUGGAGCAGGAAGUUUGCAAGCUCAAGCUCAGUGCUAGGGAGCUAAGCUUGUCAAUGGAUCUGAGCGAGCAGGACGCGGUGGCGAUGGUGUGGGGCUGACUGACUGGUUUGGCUUUCUUUGUAUAAUAGGGGACUAUGGAGUUAGCUUUGCAAACGAGUGCUAUGGUUGCUUCCUCGACGUUCUGGGAAGAGCGGGGCGUUUGGAAAUCGCCGAGGAUAUGAUUUGCAACAUGCCGUUCGAGCCGAGUGCCUGCAAAACGCACAGCGACAUCGCUCGAGCACUGCGGGUGACAAACUACAUCAACCAUUUCGCUCCAGACAAGAAGACGCAGUCGUGCAUGCUUCUGGCCAACACGUACGCUGCCUGGUGGCUAUGGACCCGUGCCAUCGGCCUUGCUACUCGGGCAGGAGACGAGAGAGCGCUCGAAGAGUUUUUCGAGGAACUUGAGCAAGAACAAGAAGCUAUUGAGAUAUCGUGACGAGUUUCACGACUUUUUCGUUUCAAACUGCGAGAAUCGCUGCUGUGCUCCAGAUUCUCUCGACAGCGUCGUCGAUCCGGGAGAGAAAAUUCUAAGACUUGGGAGAGAGAACAGCUUUCUCUUCUCAAAAGUUUUGCGCUGCCUAUUGUUUAAAUCUAAUCACCUGGAAAACAAACUUAUUGUUUAUCGA
Molecule: long non-coding RNA, 1903 nt
Organism: Selaginella moellendorffii
Lineage: Eukaryota; Viridiplantae; Streptophyta; Lycopodiopsida; Selaginellales; Selaginellaceae
Exons: 2
Source: RefSeq, a predicted model, not a curated record